RNAcentral lists this long non-coding RNA (896 nucleotides) under Homo sapiens (human). RNAcentral describes it as "HSALNT0322403". The record is from RNAcentral. Lineage: Eukaryota; Metazoa; Chordata; Mammalia; Primates; Hominidae.
GAAUGUGUGUUGCUCCUUGUGGCAGGUAUACUGUUCCAAUGCCCUGGGAUCUCUGUAGUGGUCGGUACUGUAUUGAUUAUAAAUGGUGAAGUCCUAGUAUCUUGCUAGAGUGAGCUGGCCAGGAUGGUGGAGCUCUACCACCAUUUCACAGGUUAUAGACAGGGGCCACCAGGUUUCAGGAAAGCAGCAAUGACCCCUCAGUAAUAGUUGGAAAGUGUGAUAUGACACUGAGCUUCACUGUGUUGGUGAAGAAGAGGUGAGGAAAAUAAAAGCUGCAGUUUGCCUCCACCUCUGAAGAAGCACAAUACACCUUUCUGGGUUACCAAUGGGAUACUUCCCAACAGCUUUGUCAUCACAUACAAUAUUCUCAAACAAGAUCUUAAUGGCAUCUACUUUCUCCAGGAACACAGCCCCUGACCUGUGUGUGUUUGCGUAGAGAAGGCAUGCUAUGUACCCCCUAGGAUAUCAAGAUUCCUGUAGCAGAUUGAGCUCUGGCAGUUGAUCUCAGUGGCUUGAUAGAGUGUCAUUAUAAAAACGCACCUGGAAGAUUCUGUGGAAAAGACAACCUCAGAAGACCAAGGAAUCUGCCCACCACUCAAGCCUGGGAAAGCUGGCAGAGGAUGCACGUGUUUUACUCACCUGAGUGUUUACAAUGCUCGUGAGGUGCCUCCCUGAUAGAUAGAUUGACGGUGUCUAAAAAUUUCAAAGGAUACAGAAGGACAUCAACACCAGAACUGAAUUUUCACACUGGGAACAGCUUAUUCUAUGGAACUGUACUGUUAGCACAGAAUGCAUUGGCCAAAUAUCUCUCUGAGGGGAGAGUGAGUGUUUUAAAUCACACACAGGGUGAUAAUAUGAAUGUGGAUGAUAUUAGAAAAAUAUCAGUGAUCAUGGUA